Long non-coding RNA from Triticum aestivum (bread wheat), 513 nucleotides. RefSeq lists it as uncharacterized. The record is from RefSeq and is a predicted model, not a curated record. The transcript has 2 exons. NCBI's taxonomy places the organism in Eukaryota, Viridiplantae, Streptophyta, Magnoliopsida, Poales, Poaceae.
UCCUUGGUGGUAAUGAGUACAACACAAGCCCCCUGGCUGAUGGAGACCUGAAAUUUGUACAACAUGAUCCUUGGUCUACCUGCAUGGAUCUGUCCUUCAGCAACCUGACUAAUUGCCCUGUUUGUCGUCGCCCCAUUACUCUGCUGGUACCUACUGAAGUUGCUUCCCUGCCACGUGCUGAACAAGAAAUCGCUCCUAUUGUGCACUGAAUUGAGCAAUACAAUGGCCGUUUUGCUAUAGCUCCUCACAGUAUAACUCAGGUUUUUUAUAGAGCUGAGAUGGUCAGAAGACAUGCUCUUUCCCCGGGUGACAACGACUUGCAGCAACCGCUUCAAAAUUCCAGGUUUUCUUUGUCCUGCUUCUCAUGUGUGCUGAGUACUUGUAAUUAUGAACCUAUCAUUAUAAAACUACUUUUGUUAGUUGCAAGGAUAGCGUGUCAGUAAAUAAAUUGAGAACAAUCUUACUUCUUGUCCUGAUCUGUUGAAAAAAGCAUGCUGUCUUUUCCAUGGUUUA